Pelobates cultripes (western spadefoot toad) is the source of this 615-nucleotide non-coding RNA. The record is from the annotation of a GenBank genome assembly. NCBI's taxonomy places the organism in Eukaryota, Metazoa, Chordata, Amphibia, Anura, Pelobatidae.
CAUGUAAUACCAACGGCAAGAGUCAUCAUGUCAUUCUUAACCACAAAACAUGUUAUUAAUUCUCUCUCCCACCCAACCCAAAAUCUCUCUAUCCCAGCUACAUAUGUCUACCGGCACAGUCACUCUCGGGUAACUGUCUCUCCCUGCCACAUAUCUCUGUCUCUCUCUGUCUCUCUUUCUCCUAAAUAUUUCUCACAUAAUUAUAUCUAUUUCAGCCCUAUCUCUCUCUCAACCUCCAAGUAUGGACAGUAGGCAGACCUCCAUCUGUUGGAGAACUGCCUACAAUAUUAAUUCUAGGCUGGCCAAGCCUCAUGGGAGUUGUAUUUCUGCAACAGUAUAGCAGUAGCAUAAAUGCUAUCUCAGAUGUGAGAAUUCAUUUGUAGGAUGUAAAAUAGAGCGGUGCAACAUGUCUCCCAGCCCCAAUUUCAGUGGGACAGUCCUGAUUUGGAACUCCUGUGCUGUCAUCCCAAUUUUGUCUCCUGAUGUCCUACAUGCACAUACACUAUGGAAGCAUUCACAGCUAUCACAUUGUGAGCACAUUAUAAGACACACACAGUACUGGUGCACUAACACCAUGCAUCGAAUGCUUCAACAAGGCAAAAAAAUGAAUUUGCA